GGAAAAUAUUAGGAAGAUGCCAAAAUCCUGCCUAAGAGUGCUGCAGCUGGUGGAUCAUUUAUGCUAGUUCUUCCCGAGAGCCAUGUGGUGGAUAGUCCUGGACACCUGGCAUCUCUUAUGCCUCAGUUCUUCAACCACAUCCAGAGGAGUCCAAAUGAAUGAAAGUAUCUGAGAGCAGCUGCUCAGAAGAGGAAGGGCAUCAUGCUGAUCCCGACUGUGUCAAUUUGGGCAUCCUUUUCUGCCACUUCAACUUUCAAAAUCAAAUUGUUAUAAUCAAGAUGCAGAACAAGGAUCCAACGAGGGGCCAGCCAAGCUUAAUCUGCAGUUUUUCUUCCUUCUGUAUUUUUACAAAAAAUAAAUAAAAAGGAAGAAAAAUAAAUGAUUUUUUUUUCUAUUCCUUUUUCUCUUUCUUUCUAGCUUAAACAGCAAAACAGAAGACACAAGUUGACAUGUUUAAGUUGAUCAUGAUGAAUCUGAGGAUAAGUUGCUAUGCUCUGUUCUCUGAUAAAC
RNAcentral lists this long non-coding RNA (510 nucleotides) under Gallus gallus (chicken). Its description in RNAcentral is "lncRNA (ENSGALG00010006326.1)". Lineage: Eukaryota; Metazoa; Chordata; Aves; Galliformes; Phasianidae. The record is from RNAcentral.